This 77-nucleotide transfer RNA is filed under the name Bacteriovoracales bacterium. RNAcentral's name for it is "tRNA-Pro". It matches the Rfam family "tRNA". From Rfam's summary of the family: Transfer RNA (tRNA) molecules are approximately 80 nucleotides in length. Lineage: Bacteria; Pseudomonadati; Bdellovibrionota; Bacteriovoracia; Bacteriovoracales. The record is from RNAcentral.
CGGGGUGUAGCGUAGCCUGGUAGCGCACUAGCAUGGGGUGCUAGGGGUCGUUGGUUCGAAUCCAAUCACCCCGACCA